This 583-nucleotide ribosomal RNA is filed under the name Methylobacterium sp. Pd-S-(l)-e-D-3(9). Its description in RNAcentral is "bacterial SSU rRNA". It matches the Rfam family "Bacterial small subunit ribosomal RNA", at positions 238 to 838 of the family's 1533-position model. Lineage: Bacteria; Pseudomonadati; Pseudomonadota; Alphaproteobacteria; Hyphomicrobiales; Methylobacteriaceae. The record is from RNAcentral.
UGAUUAAGCUAGUUGGUGAGGUUACGGCUCACCAAGGCGACGAUCAGUAGCUGUUCUGAGAGGAUGAUCAGCCACACUGGGACUGAGACACGGCCCAGACUCNUACGGGAGGCAGCAGUGGGGAAUAUUGGACAAUGGGGGCAACCCUGAUCCAGCCAUGCCGCGUGAGUGAUGACGGCCUUAGGGUUGUAAAGCUCUUUUCUCCGGGACGAUAAUGACGGUACCGGAGGAAUAAGCCCCGGCUAACUUCGUGCCAGCAGCCGCGGUAAUACGAAGGGGGCUAGCGUUGCUCGGAAUCACUGGGCGUAAAGGGCGCGUAGGCGGCUGAUUUAGUCGAGGGUGAAAGCCCGUGGCUCAACCACGGAAUGGCCUUCGAUACUGNUUGGCUUGAGACCGGAAGAGGACAGCGGAACUGCGAGUGUAGAGGUGAAAUUCGUAGAUAUUCGCAAGAACACCAGUGGCGAAGGCGGCUGUCUGGUCCGGUUCUGACGCUGAGGCGCGAAAGCGUGGGGAGCAAACAGGAUUAGAUACCCUGGUAGUCCACGCUGUAAACGAUGAAUGCUAGCCGUUGGUCUGCAUGCAG